RNAcentral lists this unclassified non-coding RNA (326 nucleotides) under soil metagenome. RNAcentral describes it as "partial contains 5.8S ribosomal RNA, internal transcribed spacer 2, and large subunit ribosomal RNA". The stretch from base 1 to 120 matches the Rfam family "5.8S ribosomal RNA", at positions 35 to 154 of the family's 154-position model. The record is from RNAcentral.
GAUGAAGAACGCAGCGAAAUGCGAUAAGUAGUGUGAAUUGCAGAAUUCAGUGAAUCAUCGAAUCUUUGAACGCACAUUGCGCCCCUUGGUAUCCCGAGGGGCAUGCCUGUUCGAGCGUCAUUUCACCACUCAAGCCUGGCUUGGUGUUGGGCGACGUCCUCUUUGGGGACGCGCCUCGAAACGCUCGGCGGCGUGGCACCGGCUUUAAGCGUAGCAGAAUCUUUCGCUUUGGAAGUCGGGGCCCCGUCUGCCGGAAGACCUGCUCGCAAGGUUGACCUCGGAUCAGGCAGGGAUACCCGCUGAACUUAAGCAUAUCAAGCGGAGGA